AGAAAUGUGUUCCGAAAACAUUUAAAAAUAGGCCAUACAGUUGCUGAAUUUUGUCUUCAUUUCAAAUCGACAAAGGUCGGUUUGAAAGAUUUUCGUCUACUUCUACUGGAUAGUCAACAGAUUCAUUUGCAUAAAGAUGGGCAUCUGCCAGCUUUUUCACGCGCAGCAUUUUUUUCAAAUGCAGCACCGCCUUCCCGGAAGGCUUUGCCUGCAUCGUGAAGUCGC
Long non-coding RNA from Etheostoma spectabile (orangethroat darter), 225 nucleotides. RefSeq lists it as uncharacterized. The transcript has 4 exons. The record is from RefSeq and is a predicted model, not a curated record. Lineage: Eukaryota; Metazoa; Chordata; Actinopteri; Perciformes; Percidae.